CCUACGGGAGGCAGCAGUGAGGAAUAUUGGUCAAUGGGCGGAAGCCUGAACCAGCCAAGUAGCGUGCAGGAUGACGGCCCUACGGGUUGUAAACUGCUUUUAUACGGGAAUAACGCGCCUUACGUGUAGGGCUUUGCAUGUACCGUAUGAAUAAGGACCGGCUAAUUCCGGGCCAGCAGCCGCGGUAAUACGGAAGGUCCGGGCGUUAUCCGGAUUUAUUGGGUUUAAAGGGAGCGUAGGCGGCAUGUUAAGCGUGCUGUGAAAUGUCCGGGCUCAACCCGGGCCUUGCAGCGCGAACUGGCGUGCUGGAGGCCGCGGAAGGCAGGCGGAAUGCGGGGUGUAGCGGUGAAAUGCUUAGAUAUGACGAAGAACACCGAUGGCGAAGGCAGCCUGCUGCAGCGAAACUGACGCUGAUGCUCGAAAGCGCGGGUAUCGAACAGGAUUAGAUACCCUUGUAGUC
RNAcentral lists this ribosomal RNA (460 nucleotides) under uncultured bacterium. RNAcentral describes it as "partial 16S ribosomal RNA". It matches the Rfam family "Bacterial small subunit ribosomal RNA", at positions 338 to 795 of the family's 1533-position model. The record is from RNAcentral.